Molecule: long non-coding RNA, 513 nt
Organism: Gossypium arboreum
Lineage: Eukaryota; Viridiplantae; Streptophyta; Magnoliopsida; Malvales; Malvaceae
Exons: 2
Source: RefSeq, a predicted model, not a curated record
GAAAGUUAAUUAUUAAAAGUUUUUUUGGCUCAGCAGAGAACAUGUCCACAAAUAACCAACAAAAUGGUAUAGUGUAAUCAAAAAGACCACCAGCAGAGAACAUGAUAGAGUGCUUCAGCUCACAAGGAAGAGGCUCCAAAUAAUCUUCACAAGUGAUCACCUUCUUUUUGCCUCGUCAAUACAUGAAAGACCAAAGAAGCCUUGUGGCACAUCAACAGUUUCUGCAUGCUUGAGGAUUUGUUUAAAGAUCAAGGGGAUGGUGAUCUUGUAGGCCUCUUUCCUUCUUCUUGGCGGCUCUUAUCAUAAGACUGAAAAGAGGCACAUCGUCAUCUGAAUCUUUUUUAAUUUUAGAAUGUGAGAGACAAUAGCAAAUGCCCUCACUUGUGGUAGGUGGUGUGGGCACAGAUUCAGGAACAACAUCUAGUUCUUCUCUAAUUCAAUUUUAGCCUCAGCAUGGACUCUUGUAUUUGCUUCCUCUUCUACUUAUAUACUAGCCUCAAAUGCACCAAAGAA